CAACUUUAGAAGAAUUGUUGAUGCAUAAACAGAUAGCCAUCGAUGAUCCGGUGUUUUUUUUUUGAAAGAUGGUCCCUUAGGUCUCGAUUCAUUAACUAAGAUAGAAGAGAGUUGCCCGGUUAAUUAGCAGAAACCUGAGAAUAUACCGUUACAACACACCCCCAAGAGGACACCAACAACCCAUGCCGACCCCAAGGUCGCGCACCAGGCAAGCCAUCGACUCCGUCAACCGAG
RNAcentral lists this long non-coding RNA (234 nucleotides) under Hordeum vulgare. RNAcentral's name for it is "long non-coding RNA (HVUL_LNC001760)". Lineage: Eukaryota; Viridiplantae; Streptophyta; Magnoliopsida; Poales; Poaceae. The record is from RNAcentral.